Pangasianodon gigas (Mekong giant catfish) is the source of this 74-nucleotide non-coding RNA. The record is from the annotation of a GenBank genome assembly. Lineage: Eukaryota; Metazoa; Chordata; Actinopteri; Siluriformes; Pangasiidae.
AUUUUAAUUGUUGAUAUGAUAUUAUUAUAUUAUCAUCUACAGGGUUAGUUAUAGAACUGUCCGGUUUUAAAUUA